CAACGUAAUAUUUUUCUAUUAAUUGAAAAUUAUGCAUUCUGUCAUGUUAACAUUUGAUGUAAAUUAGCCAAUAUAACAAUAAAGUGUAUAGGCAUAUGUCUUGUCUUAAAUUACCAUUGAAAACAUAUACUGAGAGAUAUUGGGAGCUCUGAAUUUUAGUCUUUGUUAAAAAGGAAAAGUUUUUCACUUAUGUACAUUUUGUUCCUAAUUAUAGGCGAAGUUCUGAGACUCUUAUUUUGAUGGGUGUUUAAGAAACCCGGAUGUUGUGUGCUGCGGUUGCUUGGUUGUGGGAGUGCGGGUAGCUGAGCGCGCGGCGGGAGGAGCCAUUUCUCUCUUAAUGUCUUUAACUCGCCUUGUUUUUGGUUUAGUAUAAAUAAUAAUUUCACUUAUGUAAAUAUAAAUAUUCAUAUAAUAAAUAUCCAAUACAAAAAUACAUACAUGCUACUAAUUCUAGACAGGCUAAAAAAGUAUAAAGUGUAGCUAGCUAGCUACAGGUGGGUGUUUUCACCACAGCCCACAGAAACAAGGAUUUGUAAUGAGUGCUGUUUAGAAUGAAACGCUGAGAUGAACAGACAGAUGGACCCACAGACGGACAACAGACACAGAAAGGAAGGCAGGAUCGGCUCAGUGGUCAGAAGAGCAGACAUGAUGUCGGAGCGACUGGAACAGAGAGCUGGA
RNAcentral lists this long non-coding RNA (678 nucleotides) under Astyanax mexicanus (Mexican tetra). RNAcentral's name for it is "lncRNA (ENSAMXG00005018328.1)". Lineage: Eukaryota; Metazoa; Chordata; Actinopteri; Characiformes; Acestrorhamphidae. The record is from RNAcentral.